Onychomys torridus (southern grasshopper mouse) is the source of this 626-nucleotide long non-coding RNA. RefSeq lists it as uncharacterized. The record is from RefSeq and is a predicted model, not a curated record. Lineage: Eukaryota; Metazoa; Chordata; Mammalia; Rodentia; Cricetidae. The transcript has 3 exons.
ACAAAACAAAAAGCCAACAAUGGGAUUGCUGCUCAUAGAAUAUUCCACCUCCUGACUCUCUGAGGGGCAGUUUCUCAUAGUGACUCUCAACUGUGUUCCUAGGUUCUCUGAUUUCUCUACAUCCUGGCCAACACUUGCAAGCCUGUUUGGUUGACAGUGGCCAUCCUGAUGCCCUGGCUGUGAGAACUGAACCCAAGGAACCAUGCUUCUCCAUUGUUUCCUGUUUUCUGAGACGUGGAAUUGUCAUUUGUCAAGAACUUCGCAGAAAACACCGACAGAGAACAUGGUUGCAUCUGAAUAGCAUGGGAUAAAGACGGUGGAAGCAUCUAAUAUCCAACCUGGAGCGGCUGUCUAGACCCCUGUGCUCCUUUGAAAGGGCCAGGACAACACUGGAUCGGGACAGCACACACUUGGUAAGAUGGUCGUAUGCCAGUUCAUCAGAUUCAGGGCUCAGAGCCAGGGGCAAUGCUGACGGACGGCUGUUCCCACCUUUUGCCUUGGCCUGCCUCCAGGGACUGGCUACUUUUGGAGGACUUUAGACAUCUGCUGGGUGCUUGAACCAAUUUUAUUUAGAAGACUCCAGUUGGCACCACACACACACACACACACACACACACACACACACA